UACGUAGGGGGCUAGCGUUGUCCGGAAUCAUUGGGCGUAAAGAGCGUGUAGGCGGCUUGGUAAGUCCGCUGUGAAAGUCCAGGGCUCAACCCUGGAAAGCCAGUGGAAACUGUCAAGCUAGAGUCCGGAAGAGGCGAGUGGAACUCCUGGUGUAGCGGUGAAAUGCGCAGAUAUCAGGAAGAACACCAAUGGCGAAGGCAGCUCGCUGGGACGUGACUGACGCUGAGACGCGAAAGCGUGGGGAGCAAACAGG
This 253-nucleotide ribosomal RNA is filed under the name uncultured bacterium. RNAcentral's name for it is "partial 16S ribosomal RNA". It matches the Rfam family "Bacterial small subunit ribosomal RNA", at positions 524 to 776 of the family's 1533-position model. The record is from RNAcentral.